UCGAGAAUUUUUCACAAUGGGCGAAAGCCUGAUGGAGCGACGCCGCGUGGGGGAUGAAUGGCUUCGGCCCGUAAACCCCUGUCAUUUGCGAACAAAUCUUACCGGUUAAUACCCGGUGAGCUGAUUGUCGCGAAAGAGGAAGGGACGGCUAACUCUGUGCCAGCAGCCGCGGUAAUACAGAGGUCCCAAGCGUUGUUCGGAUUCACUGGGCGUAAAGGGUGCGUAGGUGGUGAGGUAAGUCGGAUGUGAAAUCUCCAAGCUCAACUUGGAAACUGCAUUGGAAACUACCUUGCUUGAGGGUUUGAGGGGGGAUUGGAAUACUUGGUGUAGCAGUGAAAUGCGUAGAUAUCAAGUGGAACACCAGUGGCGAAGGCGAGUCCCUGGACGAUUUCUGACGCUGAGGCACGAAAGCUAGGGGAGCAAA
Molecule: ribosomal RNA, 424 nt
Filed under: uncultured bacterium
Lineage: Bacteria
Description: bacterial SSU rRNA
Rfam family: Bacterial small subunit ribosomal RNA
Source: RNAcentral